GACGAACGCUGGCGGCGUGCUUAACACAUGCAAGUCGAACGGAAAGGCCCUGCUUUUGUGGGGUGCUCGAGUGGCGAACGGGUGAGUAACACGUGAGUAACCUGCCCUUGACUUUGGGAUAACUUCAGGAAACUGGGGCUACUACCGUAUAGGAGCUCCUGCUGCAUGGUGGGGGUUGGAAAGUUUCGGCGGUUGGGGAUGGACUCGCGGCUUAUCAGCUUGUUGGUGGGGUAGUGGCUUACCAAGGCUUUGACGGGUAGCCGGCCUGAGAGGGUGACCGGCCACAAUGGGACUGAGAUACGGACCAGACUGCUACGGGAGGCAGCAGUGGGGAAUAUUGCACAAUGGGCGGAAGCCUGAUGAAGAAACGCCGCGGGCGGGAUGACGGCCUUCGGGUUGUAAAAAGCUUUCGCCUGUGACGAAGCGUGAGUGACGGUAAUGGGUAAAGAAGCACCGGCUAACUACGUG
RNAcentral lists this ribosomal RNA (468 nucleotides) under uncultured bacterium. Its description in RNAcentral is "partial 16S ribosomal RNA". It matches the Rfam family "Bacterial small subunit ribosomal RNA", at positions 28 to 507 of the family's 1533-position model. The record is from RNAcentral.